RNAcentral lists this ribosomal RNA (465 nucleotides) under uncultured bacterium. RNAcentral describes it as "partial 16S ribosomal RNA". It matches the Rfam family "Bacterial small subunit ribosomal RNA", at positions 28 to 507 of the family's 1533-position model. The record is from RNAcentral.
GACGAACGCUGGCGGCGUGCUUAACACAUGCAAGUCGAACGGAAAGGCCCUGCUUGCAGGGUACUCGAGUGGCGAACGGGUGAGUAACACGUGGGUGAUCUGCCCUGCACUUCGGGAUAAGCCUGGGAAACUGGGUCUAAUACCGGAUAGGAGCCCUUUUUAGUGUGAUGGUUGGAAAGUUUUUUCGGUGUAGGAUGAGCUCGCGGCCUAUCAGCUUGUUGGUGGGGUAAUGGCCUACCAAGGCGGGGACGGGUAGCCGGCCUGAGAGGGUGGACGGCCACAUUGGGACUGAGAUACGGCCCAGACUCCUACGGGAGGCAGCAGUGGGGAAUAUUGCAAAAUGGGCGCAAGCCUGAUGCAGCGACGCCGCGUGGGGGAUGACGGCCUUCGGGUUGGAAACUCCUUUCGCUAGGGACGAAGCUUUUUGUGACGGUACCUAGAUAAGAAGCACCGGCUAACUACGUG